GCCAGACUCCUACGGGAGGCAGCAGUGGGGAAUAUUGCACAAUGGGGGAAACCCUGAUGCAGCGACGCCGCGUGAGUGAAGAGGUAUUUCGGUAUGUAAAGCUCUCUCAGCAGGGAAGAAAAUGACGGUACCUGACCAAGAAGCCCCGGCUAACUACGUGCCAGCAGCCGCGGUAAUACGUAGGGGGCAAGCGUUAUCCGGAUUUACUGGGUGUAAAGGGAGCGUAGACGGCUGUGCAAGUCAGAAGUGAAAGCCCGGGGCUCAACCCCGGGACUGCUUUUGAAACUGCGUGGCUGGAGUGCAGGAGAGGUAAGCGGAAUUCCUGGUGUAGCGGUGAAAUGCGUAGAUAUCAGGAGGAACACCAGUGGCGAAGGCGGCUUACUGGACUGUAACUGACGUUGAGGCUCGAAAGCGUGGGGAGCAAACAGGAUUAGAUACCCUAGUA
This 445-nucleotide ribosomal RNA is filed under the name uncultured bacterium. RNAcentral's name for it is "bacterial SSU rRNA". It matches the Rfam family "Bacterial small subunit ribosomal RNA", at positions 330 to 792 of the family's 1533-position model. The record is from RNAcentral.